This 355-nucleotide ribosomal RNA is filed under the name uncultured bacterium. Its description in RNAcentral is "bacterial SSU rRNA". It matches the Rfam family "Bacterial small subunit ribosomal RNA", at positions 29 to 367 of the family's 1533-position model. The record is from RNAcentral.
AACGAACGCUGGCGGCGUGGAUAAGACAUGCAAGUCGAGCGGGAACUUUCGCUGUAGCAAUACAGUGAAAGUUCUAGCGGCGAACGGGUGCGUAACACGUGGACAAUCUGCCUUAAAGUGGGGGAUAGCUCGGCGAAAGCCGAAUUAAUACCGCAUGUGAUGAGAGACGACAUCGUCUUGAAAUCAAAGCCGGGGCAACCUGGCGCUUUUUGAGGAGUCCGCGGCCUAUCAGCUUGUUGGUGAGGUAACGGCUCACCAAGGCUAUGACGGGUAGCUGGUCUGAGAGGACGACCAGUCACACUGGAACUGAGACACGGUCCAGACACCUACGGGUGGCAGCAGUCGAGAAUUUUUG